AGUGAACGCUGGCGGUAGGCCUAACACAUGCAAGUCGAACGGUAGCACAGAGGAGCUUGCUCCUUGGGUGACGAGUGGCGGACGGGUGAGGAAUGCAUCGGAAUCUACUCUUUCGUGGGGGAUAACGUAGGGAAACUUACGCUAAUACCGCAUACGACCUACGGGUGAAAGCAGGGGACCUUCUAGGCCUUGCGCGAUUGAAUGAGCCGAUGUCCGAUUAGCUAGUUGGCGGGGUAAUGGCCCACCAAGGCGACGAUCGGUAGCUGGUCUGAGAGGAUGAUCAGCCACACUGGAACUGAGACACGGUCCAGACUCCUACGGGAGGCAGCAGUGGGGAAUAUUGGACAAUGGGCGCAAGCCUGAUCCAGCCAUACCGCGUGGGUGAAGAAGGCCUUCGGGUUGUAAAGCCCUUUUGUUGGGAAAGAAAAGCAGCCGGCUAAUACCCGGUUGUUCUGACGGUACCCAAAGAAUAAGCACCGGCUAACUUCGUG
This 491-nucleotide ribosomal RNA is filed under the name uncultured organism. RNAcentral's name for it is "bacterial SSU rRNA". It matches the Rfam family "Bacterial small subunit ribosomal RNA", at positions 29 to 507 of the family's 1533-position model. The record is from RNAcentral.